CCGAGAAUAUUGGACAAUGGGCGAAAGCCUGAUCCAGCGACAUUGCGUGGAGGAUGAAGACGUUCGCGCCGUAAACUCCUUUUAUAGGGAAAGAAGUAAUUGACGGUACCCUAUGAAUAAGCGGGGGCUAAUUCUGUGCCAGCAGCAGCGGUAAUACAGAACCCGCAAGCGUUAUCCGGAUUUAUUGGGCGUAAAGUGUUCGUAGGCGGUUUGGAAAGUCUGAUAUCAAAUAUCCGGGCUCAACCCGGGACGCGUAUCAGAAACUUCCAAACUCGAAGGUGCUAGAGGCUAUCGGAACGCACGGUGUAGGGGUGAAAUCCGUUGAUAUCGUGCGGAACACCAAAAGCGAAGGCAGAUAGCUGGGGCAUUCUUGACGCUGAGGAACGAAAGCGUGGGGAGCAAAAAG
Molecule: ribosomal RNA, 406 nt
Filed under: uncultured bacterium
Lineage: Bacteria
Description: bacterial SSU rRNA
Rfam family: Bacterial small subunit ribosomal RNA
Source: RNAcentral